This is a long non-coding RNA of Brassica napus (rape), 1316 nucleotides long. RefSeq lists it as uncharacterized. The record is from RefSeq and is a predicted model, not a curated record. Lineage: Eukaryota; Viridiplantae; Streptophyta; Magnoliopsida; Brassicales; Brassicaceae. The transcript is spliced from 2 exons.
UAAUGUUUUAGUAAGUUUUAAUCAUAAAACUCCUUUAAAUAACAUUGUACCUCAAAUUAAUUUUAGAUAUGAAAUUUAAAUUUUAAAUGGUCAUAAAAUUAAUUUUCAUAUCUAAAGUUUAAGAUACAAUGUUAAAAAGUGUUUUAUGAUUAAAAUUUUAAUAAGACAUUAAUUUAGUUUAGUUUAAACCUUAAUUUAAAGAAAUGUCUUAUCUAGCCUGUCUUCUAUCUUGUGAGCCGGGCUUAUCGUGCAACUUGGUCAAAGAUUAUAUUUCACCGACAAACACUUGCCCAGGCAACUAUGCUGGCGUCAUGAGUGGAGAACCUUCCUCCAAACCUUACCUUGGUUCCGUCAGUGACGUUUCUAGAUUCCUAUGGAACUUUCUGUCUGAAAAAACAUCUGUGCAAAAGGGAAACGCAAUCUCGGUUUGUUCAUAAGGAAGCUGUAGCAGAACCGACCAAGUGUGUAUCAAAGCAGAGAGCAGCAAGGAGGGAACAUGCGUGGUCUCCACGACCAGGUAAACUCUUUUCGCUUUGAACUGUGUCUCAUGUCCUAAAGCUGAGCAAAUCAUAAGCUAGUGAUGUCAUAUCAGAACUGUGCUUGGAGCCUUAACAGGGUUUGAGAGAACCUAGAGCCAAUCGUGGCGUAACAAAUUUGCUUUCUUAACACAUAGUAAGUCCUGGUUGUGUCAGGUAUGUUCCAGCAUAUUCAACAAGGUUAAAGUAUAACGAUGGCGCUUGGACUAUUCUCCCCCAAAACACAUCGGAUUCUACAGCAGAACCGACCAAGUGUGUAUCAAAGCAGAGAGUAACAAGGAGGGAACAUGCGUGGUCUCCACGACCAGGUAUGUUCCAGCGUAUUCAACAAGAUUGAAGUAUGCAGAUGGCGCUUGGACUAUUCUGCCCCAAAACACAUCGGAUUCUAUGGGGAUGGUUGAUCCGAUCUGGGCGGAGAGAAAUUGGAACACUAUAGGCGUGCAAGUGUACACGGUCCAGUACUCAGCAUACGACAAUGCAGUCCUUGUAGCGGGUAUUACAGUCACAACAUUGGCUUAUAUUGGAAUUAUGGUUGCCAAAUCGUUCAUCACAAAAGCUUUGAAGCAGGACUGAGACUUAUGAUUGUAGCUCCAAAAAUUUUACUUCCCCAUGAGACACCAUCUGUACGGUGGUAGAAACCUUUUUUCUAACAAUUCACUACUAAAGCUAUAUUGAAAACAGUUGUUCUUUUUUUGGAGAUAGUUCAUAUGAAAUCCUCAGUAUUUGUCAAAAAUAAGCAAGCUUGAAUAAGCAAAGUUCUUUUAACCGUUAAACAGUCAA